AACAACAGGGAUUGCCUCAGUAACGGCGAAGUGAAGCGGCAACAGCUCAAAUUUGAAAUCUGGCCUCUUUGGGGUCCGNAGUUGUAAUUUGUAGAGGAUGUUUCGGGCACCGCUCCGGUUUAAAUUUCUUGGAACAGAAUGUCAAAGAGGGUGAGAACCCCGUCUUGGACCGGCAGUAGGGCCCAUGUGAAACUCCUUCGACGAGUCGAGUUGUUUGGGAAUGCAGCUCAAAAUGGGUGGUAAAUUUCAUCUAAAGCUAAAUAUUGGCCAGAGACCGAUAGCGCACAAGUAGAGUGAUCGAAAGAUGAAAAGCACUUUGAAAAGAGAGUUAAACAGUACGUGAAAUUGUUGAAAGGGAAGCGCUUGCAACCAGACUUGCGCGCGGCGGUUCCCCCUUCCUUUUGGUUGGGUUAUUCCGCCGUGUCCAGGCCAACAUCGGUUCUGGGGGUCGGUUAAAGGCCUGGGGAAUGUAUCUACCCUUCGGGCGUAGACUUAUAGCCCCGGGUGUCAUGCGACCUCCCGGGACCGAGGAACGCGCUUCGGCUCGGAUGUUGGCGUAAUGGUUGUCAGCGACCCGUCUUGAAACACGGACCAAGGAGUCUAACAUCUAUGCGAGUGUUUGGGUGUCAAACCCGGAACGCGGAAUGAAAGUGAACGGAGGUAGGAAGCUUCGGCUGCACUAUCGACCGAUCCUGAUGUCUUCGGAUGGAUUUGAGUAAGAGCAUAGCUGUUGGGACCCGAAAGAUGGUGAACUAUGCCUGAAUAGGGUGAAGCCAGAGGAAACUCUGGUGGAGGCUCGCAGCGGUUCUGACGUGCAAAUCGAUCGUCAAAUUUGGGUAUAGGGGCGAAAGACUAAUCGAACCAUUAAAAAGUUACCGGUGGUUAAGUGUAACCGUGAAAGCGGUUGCAAGUGCCAGGUUCUGGCGCGACACUGUCAAAUUGCGGGGACUCCCUAAAGCUUCCGACGACCGCCUCGCCCACGAAAGUGGGAGUGAGGCACCAGGUUAAUGGCCUCGGGUAUGGUAAAACUGUCGAAGAUGUAACAAUGGGUAAUCUGCAGCCAAGUCCUACGGGCCCCCCCUAAAAGGGGCCUACGGAUGCAGUUCACAGACUAAAUGGCAGUGGGCUCUCGAGUAAGCAGGGCUUAAGAUAUAGUCGGUCCCCUGGGGAAACCCAGGCGCAUACGCUAAAUCUGGAGUGAGGAACCCCCUCUGCGGUCACUCCAGACCUGAACGGUGCGGGCGCCCCUGUGUGUUGAAGGCGGCGUCGGA
This 1271-nucleotide ribosomal RNA is filed under the name Exophiala dermatitidis. RNAcentral describes it as "LSU rRNA". It matches the Rfam family "Eukaryotic large subunit ribosomal RNA", at positions 64 to 1427 of the family's 3401-position model. The record is from RNAcentral. Lineage: Eukaryota; Fungi; Ascomycota; Eurotiomycetes; Chaetothyriales; Herpotrichiellaceae.